UUGCAUAUCAAUAAGCGGAGGAAAAGAAACCAACCGGGAUUGCCUUAGUAACGGCGAGUGAAGCGGCAAAAGCUCAAAUUUGAAAUCUGGUACCUUCGGUGCCCGAGUUGUAAUUUGGAGAGGGCAACUUUGGGGCCGUUCCUUGUCUAUGUUCCUUGGAACAGGACGUCAUAGAGGGUGAGAAUCCCGUGUGGCGAGGAGUGCGGUUCUUUGUAAAGUGCCUUCGAAGAGUCGAGUUGUUUGGGAAUGCAGCUCUAAGUGGGUGGUAAAUUCCAUCUAAAGCUAAAUAUUGGCGAGAGACCGAUAGCGAACAAGUACAGUGAUGGAAAGAUGAAAAGAACUUUGAAAAGAGAGUGAAAAAGUACGUGAAAUUGUUGAAAGGGAAGGGCAUUUGAUCAGACAUGGUGUUUUGUGCCCUCUGCUCCUUGUGGGUAGGGGAAUCUCGCAUUUCACUGGGCCAGCAUCAGUUUUGGUGGCAGGAUAAAUCCAUAGGAAUGUAGCUUGCCUCGGUAAGUAUUAUAGCCUGUGGGAAUACUGCCAGCUGGGACUGAGGACUGCGACGUAAGUCAAGGAUGCUGGCAUAAUGGUUAUAUGCCGCCCGUCUUGAACCACGGA
RNAcentral lists this ribosomal RNA (615 nucleotides) under Saccharomyces cerevisiae (brewer's yeast). RNAcentral describes it as "partial large subunit ribosomal RNA". It matches the Rfam family "Eukaryotic large subunit ribosomal RNA", at positions 36 to 665 of the family's 3401-position model. Lineage: Eukaryota; Fungi; Ascomycota; Saccharomycetes; Saccharomycetales; Saccharomycetaceae. The record is from RNAcentral.